Molecule: transfer RNA, 72 nt
Filed under: Fukomys damarensis (Damara mole-rat)
Lineage: Eukaryota; Metazoa; Chordata; Mammalia; Rodentia; Bathyergidae
Rfam family: tRNA
About the family: Transfer RNA (tRNA) molecules are approximately 80 nucleotides in length. Their secondary structure includes four short double-helical elements and three loops (D, anti-codon, and T loops).
Source: Rfam by way of RNAcentral
GAGAGUAUAGCUCAGUGGCAAAGCAUAUGCUUAGCAUGCAUGAGGCCCUGGGUUAAAUCCCCAGUACCCUCC